UGAUGAGCUCUCCUCAACAUCUCCAUAUCAUAUCUCCUAGUGAAGGUUAUAAAUUUAGUCUUCCAGUAUCGACUAGCUCCCCUUGACUUCUGUGGUUACUCCAGUUGUUGGGCAUUGGUUGCUUCUGACUUUGGCAUAUAUUGGUCUAUCCACAGCUCUACAUUCAUCUUAGCUAAGAUUUGUCGUACUAGUCAGUACUGGUACAUAUUGACUAUACCAACCGUAUCGGUAUGUGGUACGAAGGGGCAUACUGACCAGCCCCCAAACCUAGCGUACCAUACUGUAAUAGGAUGGUACCAAUACAAACUCCGGUACUGAGACGAUGAACCUUGAUCCCAGCUUUCUUUGCUAUCAUACCAGUAGAUCAAUGAGGUGAUUGGGCUCAAGUUUUGGCUAUUGCUGACCCUCAAGCCAACCUACCAUGGGAUACUCAUCCUUAUAUACAAAGGCAUUGUAAGGUGGCUCAUCAUAUUUCAGUUGCAUCUAUGGACGAACUAAGUUAUUCAAUCUCGUGUCUGGCGACUCCUUUGUUGUGUAUUAAUGGGAAGGUUGACCAAUUGUGCUUGCAACCAAUGGAGAAGACUGUUUAUAAAAGGAUCUAGAUUGCUAAUCUCCUGUGAUUUUUAAAUGACAAUCCAAAAAGGAUCACCAUAUAGCAACAAAUGCAAUCAAGCAAAUUGCAUAUUAGACACCAUAUAUCAUAAAAUAUUAGAACAGCUUGAGUCAAUAUUCAAAAAUACUUGAAUUCAUAUUGUCUUUGCUUGCCAUAGCUGCCUUUUCACCAAAGCUAUUGGAGCCCUCUCUAAAAGCUUUAAUUUAUUAAACACAAACAUUUCUAGGAUCAUAUCUCUACUUAAAUUUAUAAAAUGUUAUUUUCAUGAAAUUUAACUUACCUCCUCCAAGCAUCUAGCAGCAAUGGCACAUCAAGCACCAUCUCCGGACAUUAUAUUGGA
This 953-nucleotide long non-coding RNA is filed under the name Phoenix dactylifera (date palm). RNAcentral's name for it is "long non-coding RNA (PDAC_LNC016764)". Lineage: Eukaryota; Viridiplantae; Streptophyta; Magnoliopsida; Arecales; Arecaceae. The record is from RNAcentral.